Molecule: small RNA, 246 nt
Filed under: Pongo abelii (Sumatran orangutan)
Lineage: Eukaryota; Metazoa; Chordata; Mammalia; Primates; Hominidae
Description: processed transcript
Source: RNAcentral
AAUGGGUAUGAAUCUCUGUGUGCUCAUAUACAUAUGCUUGAUUAUAUGAUCAUCUCGUGGAGGACAUGUGACAUGGGAAGACAAUAGGGCACAUGAUAUGCUCUUUGACCUAAGGUGUCCUGGGGAAGUGUCGCUACGUUUACUAUGGGAAAAACUCAGAAGGCAACAGGUUUAUCCGAGAUGACCAGCUCUGAAGCCAAGUUCUGUAUACCUUCACCCAUUUCACGAAAAUAAAAUCAAAAGGGA